CCUACGGGAGGCUGCAGUGGGGAAUAUUGCACAAUGGGCGCAAGCCUGAUGCAGCCAUGCCGCGUGUGUGAAGAAGGCCUUCGGGUUGUAAAGCACUUUCAGCGGGGAGGAAGGCGGUGAGGUUAAUAACCUCAUCGAUUGACGUUACCCGCAGAAGAAGCACCGGCUAACUCCGUGCCAGCAGCCGCGGUAAUACGGAGGGUGCAAGCGUUAAUCGGAAUUACUGGGCGUAAAGCGCACGCAGGCGGUCUGUCAAGUCGGAUGUGAAAUCCCCGGGCUCAACCUGGGAACUGCAUUCGAAACUGGCAGGCUAGAGUCGUGUAGAGGGGGGUAGAAUUCCAGGUGUAGCGGUGAAAUGCGUAGAGAUCUGGAGGAAUACCGGUGGCGAAGGCGGCCCCCUGGACAGAGACUGACGCUCAGGUGCGAAAGCGUGGGGAGCAAACAGGAUUAGAUACCCGAGUAGUC
Molecule: ribosomal RNA, 465 nt
Filed under: uncultured Klebsiella sp.
Lineage: Bacteria; Pseudomonadati; Pseudomonadota; Gammaproteobacteria; Enterobacterales; Enterobacteriaceae
Description: bacterial SSU rRNA
Rfam family: Bacterial small subunit ribosomal RNA
Source: RNAcentral